RNAcentral lists this long non-coding RNA (560 nucleotides) under Homo sapiens (human). Its description in RNAcentral is "TYMS opposite strand RNA". The record is from RNAcentral. Lineage: Eukaryota; Metazoa; Chordata; Mammalia; Primates; Hominidae.
AGCACUGGGCAAACGCUGCCCGAUGACGCCCGCCUCGGGGGCCACGGCAUCACUGGGGCGACUGCGAGCCCGGCCGCGGAGCCGCUGGGACGCGGCUUACCUCCCGGCUGUCGCUGCUGUGUGUGUUGCCCGCGCCAGUCACGUCCCUAAUGGGACCCUCCGUUUCGGCGUCUGUAAGGCGAGGAGGACGAUGCGUCCCCUCCCUCGCAGGAUUGAGGUUAGGACUAAACGGGGUCCGCAGCGCCCGGCAGCUCCCGAGCGCUCUCCCCAGCCGCGCCUCCCUCCUUCCCGCCACCCGUCCCGCAGGGGCCCGCGGCGUCACCUCUCAGGCUGUAGCGCGCCUGCAUGCCGAAUACCGACAGGGUGCCGGUGCCCGUGCGGUCGUCCUUCCUGACGCCGCAGCGGAGGAUGUGUUGGAUCUGCCCCAGAUAGGCGGUGUCCUCCAAGUGCUUCCGGGUCAUCUGGAGAAUCUGGCCAUACUGCUGAUUGGAUACAUUGACCAACCUGAUCGCCUCGUCUAAUUCUGUGUGCAGAGCAGGUACAUCAGGACAGUCUAGCAG